Molecule: ribosomal RNA, 387 nt
Filed under: Triticum aestivum (bread wheat)
Lineage: Eukaryota; Viridiplantae; Streptophyta; Magnoliopsida; Poales; Poaceae
Description: partial small subunit ribosomal RNA
Source: RNAcentral
AUGCUGAGACGAAUGCAAGAGUAUGCCAUCCGGAAUGAUAAAAUAGAACCUGGAGUAUUUUAUCUUGCAUUCCUUGGUCUGGCAGUGAUUGAUGCGUUUGUUUGUCGGAUAAGGUACUCAGAAUUAAGAACAAAAUGUUCUAUUAAAGGUCGACUUAAGGUGGUGAUCUACUCUACCGUUUACAGCCAUUUCAGAUUUUUCAAUAUGCCAGUUAAGGGAAAAAAAACUGGUAGCCAGGAGAUGAUAAUUAGGUUCCAUUAUGAUUUUAUUUUUUCAAAGGAUUCAUGUAUUCUUGUUUGCAAUCAUUUUUAUCUGGCUGUUCAUCAAUCGGCAUUGCAAAUUACAAAUGAGACUUUCUUCAUUUCAUAUUUUUCUCCUUAUGUGUAG